This 72-nucleotide transfer RNA is filed under the name Allotropa virgata. RNAcentral describes it as "tRNA-Val". It matches the Rfam family "tRNA". Rfam says of the family: Transfer RNA (tRNA) molecules are approximately 80 nucleotides in length. Their secondary structure includes four short double-helical elements and three loops (D, anti-codon, and T loops). Further hydrogen bonds mediate the characteristic L-shaped molecular structure. tRNAs have two regions of fundamental functional importance: the anti-codon, which is responsible for specific mRNA codon recognition, and the 3' end, to which the tRNAs corresponding amino acid is attached (by aminoacyl-tRNA synthetases). tRNAs cope with the degeneracy of the genetic code in two manners: having more than one tRNA (with a specific anti-codon) for a particular amino acid; and 'wobble' base-pairing, i.e. permitting non-standard base-pairing at the 3rd anti-codon position. The record is from RNAcentral. Lineage: Eukaryota; Viridiplantae; Streptophyta; Magnoliopsida; Ericales; Ericaceae.
AGGAAUAUAACUCAGUGGUAGAGCGUCACCUUGACGCGGUGGAGGUCAUAGGUUUGAGUCUGCUUAUUCCUC